GUGGAGGAAAUCACUAGGAAGCUCAGUGAGCAGAGUCAAGAUUGUUGGCUGGUUAAUCCAUGGGGCUAUUGUAUUCAGCUGGAUGAUUACGGCAGCUAAGGUGAGGAUGGAGAUUGUGCACAGGUGCUAACGUCUUCAAGGAGGACUUGGAGGUUGAAGCAGCAAGAGUGGUGAAGCUGCAUGAUAUGAAUCUCAAAGUUCCAGAAAAGGAUUUGGAUGGAGCUGUUGGAAACCAGGAGGAUACUAAUCCAACUUCUUAGCCCACUGCUUAAGUACUGGAGGCGUGAGAGGGAAAACAAACAAAAAAGCACCUUGCCUGAGUAGGAUAAAGGAGAAAUCAUGUUUACUGGGAACAUCGAGGUUUCAGUUCUGAUUAUUGUGCUUCAAGCAAUCUCUUCUUCUCAAGUUACUCCCACCACAUGGCCUAGUCAACUGCUACUGAGCUGGGAACCAGAAGACCCUAGCAAGCAUCUGUCUAAGCUGUCAGUUUACUGAAUGAAACAUUUCAUCAUUCUGGCUAUAUCCAAAAUCAAACUGGUGGCAAAUGAAAUUGUUUCACAGUGGCGCCUGCUUCUUAGAAAGGGCAGCACAGACAAGACAACGUAGCAUCUCCAGAAGUUGAAAGAAAAAGAAACUUAAGCCCGCCAUGUGAGUCCUUCUAGUUGCGGCAUGUGGGAUGAUGCUUCAGCAUGGCCUGAUGGGUGGUGCCAUGUCCGUGUCCAGGAUUCAAACUGGCGAGACCCUGGGCCACCGAAGCAGAGCGUGCGAACUUAACCACUCAGCCAUGGGGCCGGCCCCCCAAGGUCAUUCUUGUCACUAUACACAAGACCUCCUCAUCCUAAGAAAGUGAAGUGGUGUUAGAGAGUGUUUGAAAAUCUCAAUUAUGAAUUAAAAACU
RNAcentral lists this long non-coding RNA (897 nucleotides) under Equus asinus (donkey). RNAcentral describes it as "lncRNA (ENSEASG00005030782.1)". Lineage: Eukaryota; Metazoa; Chordata; Mammalia; Perissodactyla; Equidae. The record is from RNAcentral.